GAUUAACGCUGGCGGCGUGCCUAACACCUGCAAGUCGAGCGGCAGCGAGUUUUACACUGAAUUCUGGAAGCUUCUAGUUGAAAGAGAAGAUUUAUUCAAGAAUUUUGUGUAAAAUGUCGGCGAGCGGCGGACGGCUGAGUAACGCGUGGGAACGUACCCCAAGGUGAGGGAUAACGCAUCGAAAGGUGUGCUAAUACCGCAUAUGGUCUUCGGAUUAAAGCCUUCGGGCGCUUUGGGAACGGCCUGCGUAAGAUUAGAUAGUUGGUGGGGUAAUGGCCUACCAAGUCGACGAUCUGUAACUGGUUUGAGAGGAUGAUCAGUCAGACUGGAACUGAGACACGGUCCAGACUCCUACGGGAGGCAGCAGUGAGGAAUCUUCCACAAUGGGCGAAAGCCUGAUGGAGCAACGCCGCGUGCAGGAUGAAGGCCUUCGGGUUGUAAACUGCUUUUAUAAGUGAGGAUUAUGACAGUAACUUAUGAAUAAGGAUCGGCUAACUACGUG
Molecule: ribosomal RNA, 502 nt
Filed under: uncultured bacterium
Lineage: Bacteria
Description: partial 16S ribosomal RNA
Rfam family: Bacterial small subunit ribosomal RNA
Source: RNAcentral